Molecule: long non-coding RNA, 2932 nt
Filed under: Capsicum annuum
Lineage: Eukaryota; Viridiplantae; Streptophyta; Magnoliopsida; Solanales; Solanaceae
Description: long non-coding RNA (CANN_LNC004985)
Source: RNAcentral
UUUCAUAAAAUCUGUCAAAAAUGUUAAAAAUAAAAUGUUCUCAAUUCACUCUCUCUCUCUACCAUUGCUGAGAAAACAAUUACAUUUGACCUCCUUUUUCUUUCUCUUCUCUUCCUUUUAUUUUUCUUUAAGUGAAAUAAAAUAGCCACCAGCCAACCAACACUGGCUACACGGUUGGUGAACCACCGGAACAACCCUAAACCACAAGUCACCUAAGGCAUCGGAGAACCAUCAACAAGCGUAGAUGCGACACCAGCAACAGCCAAUAACCACCGUGCCACUGGAGAAAACACAAACUUUACCUGCAAGGUUCUUAAAUAGCUUGUUUCUGAGGUACUAAAAAUGCAAACUAAAAGCCCCACUUGAUUUUCUUCUCAGACUUGUAAUUUUUAAAUUUUAAUUAGUUGAAUAAGAUGUAAAGGUUGAGUUUGUUCAAUUUUAUUUGAAAAAUUGUAGAUUUUCGGUGUAUGUUAUUAACAAAAUGCUUUUUCUAAGGUGCAAUAUUUAAGUGUUUUGUCCACUUUAGAUAACUAUUUUCUUUUCAUAUUUUCCGAGGAGUCUAGAGUGUUUUUUACAUCAAUGUAGGGAUUAUGAGACAUUGUAAAGAUUGUCUAUUUGAUUCCUGGCAAUAUGAAUGUUCAUGGUACUUGAUUUAAUCACCAAAGUUGGUGUUUUUUCCGUUUUGAGAUGAUUAAGUCAAGAGCAUUGAAAUUUCAUACUGUAAAGAACUUAGAUUUUAAUGGUAAAAAGAUUAAAAUGCAUUUGUCUGUCAAGUGCUUCAAUUGCAGCAUUUUACUUUUUAUGUACUUUUUGGUGAAAUUGGAAUCAUUGCGUGUCUGUAGUUUUUAUUCAUGGGGCUGUGUGAUCUCUAUGAUUUCGGCUAGACAGUUCUUACUUUAUCUUGUGGUUGCAGUAUUAUCUCGUGGCUAGUUGUGUUAGUUUAUUUUUCAUUUAGCUUUUGUGUUUGUGAUACUAUUAUCGGUUCUAAGCUGGGGUCUAUCAAAAAUAGCCUCUCUACUUCAUGUGAGGUAGUGGUAGGGUUUGCAUACCCUCUUUCCUCCCCAGACCCUACUAUGUAGGAAUAAACUGGGUAUGUUGUUGUUGUUGUUCUCCCAUUACUGACAAACACCUACUACUCACUCUACAUUGCCGACAAAUACUAACUACGAGCUUGUGAAUAAUUAACUCUUAGUUUAUUCCUCAAAUAGUUGAGUGGUCGCUAAUUUUGCCCUAGCAUCAAUAAUAAUUAUACGCAAUUUGUAGAUGCACAAUAUGAGCUUGUGAGGGAUCCGAUGCUCAGCUUUGCCAAUUAUAUUCAUCUUUGUCAAUUGUAAAAGGUUUUCUUCUUAACUAUUCGGUCUUCUUCCUUGGGUUAUUGUAGAUCUCGAAUUUGAGGUAUGCUUUCUAUUCCAAAUAGACAACCCUGUAAACUUUGGAGCUCCAAUUUACUCAAUUUUUAAGUUGUGUUGGAUUCUCUAACUUGUUUAAUCCUUUCCAACAAAAUACAAAUUGUGAAAGAACAUUUAUGAAACAAAGAUGCUGAGAUAAGCCUUUGGGAUGGGCAAUCCUCUUAUUGAAUGUCACAAUACAUUUUAACUUUAUUUUCCAUGCUUUGGUAAAUAUAACAUAUCAACUUUCUAAUAUCAGUAAGGUAUAAAUAAUGUUUAUAUAUGUUAUUUUACACAUAUACCAAAAAUAUCUUUCUUUUUUUCUUGUUUUGCUAUAGUAGACUAGCACCUCUCUUAAACAAAUAGUUUUUUAUGUGGACAGAGCUCUACUCAGACUAUUUGUGCAACCUGCGUUUAUAAAUUUAUGUCACAGAUACCAAUGGUAAACUAAGAAUGAGAGAAAAUCAAGGGGAAGUCUAAGUAAUAUCAUUUGGUAAGUGUAAAGGUAAUGUCUAUUGGCUGGUUCAUCUUGGGAUCUUAUAGCAAGUAAAGUUUUUAUUUUUUGUUUGUAAGAAAGCAGAUCAAUCAUGAAUAUCAACUCGGGAUAAAGGGCUUUCAUGGGAGGUCUCAUUGAAUCUCAUGGCGGAAAGGAAGGGACAGAUAAUGAAAAAUAACCUGACUGAUUUACGAUCUUACAAUAAAGUGUUGAUGGUUUACUUUCCAGCGUCUGUAUAGUUGAAAAAUAGGUAAAGUGAUAUCCUUUUUCCAUUUAGUUCAAUUUUGGAAGCAUUUAAAAACAUUUACAUCUCCUCUUUUCACUUAAUCCAAACCUUAUAAUACAAAGAGCCACAUGUCUCUACUUCACCCUUGAUGCACUAUGAAAACAUAUCCUGAUGGUACAUUUGAUGUCAUAUAUAGUUGGGAUACUAUCCUUCUUAUCCAGGUAAUUCAUCUCCUGUGUAGAGCUUCAAAAUCUUUAUCAACCAAUUUAUCUUCUUUAUUUCUACUUUUUGAUUUCUCUUGGUUCCUUCUUUAAUUGAUAUACCACGUACUUAAUUAUAAUUUCUAUGGUGAAAUUUAUCCUUUUUGUGUGUACUCUUCUGUAACUAAAUGACAUUAUGAAAGUUGGUGAUGCUGAAUGUUUUCUUUUGGUUGUACUCUCCAUGCAACAUUUUCCUUCUAGAAUAGUGGAUGCUAUUCUAGCUCUAAAAUACGAUCUUAAAUAAGAUCAUUUUUCAUAUUCCCAUGGGUUUGGCAUUGCCUUUAUACAAUUUAGUUUACUUUUGCCAUUUAGGUAUCAUAUAUCUGGCUCAGCUUUGCUCACAGCUAUGGAUCAAAGCUCUGUAGAUCCACCACUUGAUAUGGCUUCUUCACAUAAAGAUAAUAAAGACCAAGAUGGAAUAUCACAAGUAUAUGCGAAUAGAGAAAAAUUUGUAAAGAGUUCAAAUUAUUUCUCAUAUCCAAGUAGACAACAACACAUUUUCUCAAGUUGAUGAGAGAAUUACAAGAGGCCAUCCUACUGUUGAUAUACCAGAAAUUUUAAG